ACUCCUACGGGAGGCAGCAGUAGGGAAUCUUCCACAAUGGGCGCAAGCCUGAUGGAGCAACACCGCGUGAGUGAAGAAGGGUUUCGGCUCGUAAAGCUCUGUUGUUAAAGAAGAACACGUAUGAGAGUAACUGUUCAUACGUUGACGGUAUUUAACCAGAAAGUCACGGCUAACUACGUGCCAGCAGCCGCGGUAAUACG
RNAcentral lists this ribosomal RNA (200 nucleotides) under uncultured Lactobacillus sp. RNAcentral's name for it is "partial 16S ribosomal RNA". It matches the Rfam family "Bacterial small subunit ribosomal RNA", at positions 335 to 527 of the family's 1533-position model. Lineage: Bacteria; Bacillati; Bacillota; Bacilli; Lactobacillales; Lactobacillaceae. The record is from RNAcentral.